UACGUAGGGUGCGAGCGUUGUCCGGAAUUAUUGGGCGUAAAGAGCUCGUAGGCGGUCUGUCGCGUCGGCUGUGAAAUCCCGAGGCUCAACCUCGGGUCUGCAGUCGAUACGGGCAAACUAGAGUAUUGCAGGGGAGACUGGAAUUCCUGGUGUAGCGGUGAAAUGCGCAGAUAUCAGGAGGAACACCAGCGGCGAAGGCGGCGCUCUGGGCCGGUACUGACGCUGAGGAGCGAAAGCGUGGGUAGCAAACAGG
This 253-nucleotide ribosomal RNA is filed under the name uncultured bacterium. RNAcentral describes it as "partial 16S ribosomal RNA". It matches the Rfam family "Bacterial small subunit ribosomal RNA", at positions 524 to 776 of the family's 1533-position model. The record is from RNAcentral.